ACUAUUACUUUCUUUAUCAAAUGAUGUUAUUAAAUAAUCGUUGAUUUAUUCGACUAUAGCGAUAAACGGUCAUCACAAUAAGCUUAUCGGACCCGGGGGCGGUACCCGGCGCCUCCACCAAAGUCCAUAGUUAGUUUGUUUUAUGGACUUUGAAGGGGGCGAAAUAGGAUCGACGAGGGUGUAAAAGAUGUGCUUUUGCUCGGCAUGAUACCACCGUUAUCGGGUCUCUUAAUAGUUGCAAACGACAACUAUGCUGAGCCACAGGCCAUUGCUGCUUAAGCGAUGUCUUACGGUUCGAAUUAAGUCCUAAGCGUUAAGCAUGCUUAGGCGGGGUUCGGCAAGCACCUGGCAACAGAAGCCUGCCACA
This 367-nucleotide transfer-messenger RNA is filed under the name Hyphomicrobiaceae bacterium. It matches the Rfam family "Alphaproteobacteria transfer-messenger RNA". From Rfam's summary of the family: Bacterial tmRNA, also known as 10Sa RNA or SsrA, is named for its dual tRNA and mRNA-like properties. Its role is to liberate the mRNA from a stalled ribosome. The record is from RNAcentral. Lineage: Bacteria; Pseudomonadati; Pseudomonadota; Alphaproteobacteria; Hyphomicrobiales; Hyphomicrobiaceae.